GGUGAGUAACACGUGGGUAACCUACCUAUAAGACUGGAAUAACUCCGGGAAACCGGGGCUAAUGCCGGAUAACAUGUUGAACCGCAUGGUUCUACAGUGAAAGACGGUCUUGCUGUCACUUAUAGAUGGACCCGCGCCGUAUUAGCUAGUUGGUGGGGUAACGGCCUACCAAGGCGACGAUACGUAGCCGACCUGAGAGGGUGAUCGGCCACACUGGAACUGAGACACGGUCCAGACUCCUACGGGAGGCAGCAGUAGGGAAUCUUCCGCAAUGGGCGAAAGCCUGACGGAGCAACGCCGCGUGAGUGAUGAAGGUCUUCGGAUCGUAAAGCUCUGUUGUUAGGGAAGAAC
RNAcentral lists this ribosomal RNA (351 nucleotides) under Staphylococcus pseudintermedius. RNAcentral's name for it is "bacterial SSU rRNA". It matches the Rfam family "Bacterial small subunit ribosomal RNA", at positions 105 to 450 of the family's 1533-position model. Lineage: Bacteria; Bacillati; Bacillota; Bacilli; Caryophanales; Staphylococcaceae. The record is from RNAcentral.